RNAcentral lists this ribosomal RNA (771 nucleotides) under Microbacterium sp. RNAcentral describes it as "bacterial SSU rRNA". It matches the Rfam family "Bacterial small subunit ribosomal RNA", at positions 69 to 850 of the family's 1533-position model. The record is from RNAcentral. Lineage: Bacteria; Bacillati; Actinomycetota; Actinomycetes; Micrococcales; Microbacteriaceae.
AUGAAGCCCAGCUUGCUGGGCGGAUUAGUGGCGAACGGGUGAGUAACACGUGAGCAACCUGCCCCUGACUCUGGGAUAACAGCCGGAAACGGUUGCUAAUACCGGAUACGCAUCAUGGCCGCAUGGUCUGUGGUGGGAAAGAUUUCUCGGUUGGGGAUGGGCUCGCGGCCUAUCAGCUUGUUGGUGAGGUAGUGGCUCACCAAGGCGUCGACGGGUAGCCGGCCUGAGAGGGUGACCGGCCACACUGGGACUGAGACACGGCCCAGACUCCUACGGGAGGCAGCAGUGGGGAAUAUUGCACAAUGGGCGGAAGCCUGAUGCAGCAACGCCGCGUGAGGGACGACGGCCUUCGGGUUGUAAACCUCUUUUAGCAGGGAAGAAGCGAGAGUGACGGUACCUGCAGAAAAAGCGCCGGCUAACUACGUGCCAGCAGCCGCGGUAAUACGUAGGGCGCAAGCGUUAUCCGGAAUUAUUGGGCGUAAAGAGCUCGUAGGCGGUUUGUCGCGUCUGCUGUGAAAUCCCGAGGCUCAACCUCGGGUCUGCAGUGGGUACGGGCAGACUAGAGUGCGGUAGGGGAGAUUGGAAUUCCUGGUGUAGCGGUGGAAUGCGCAGAUAUCAGGAGGAACACCGAUGGCGAAGGCAGAUCUCUGGGCCGUUACUGACGCUGAGGAGCGAAAGGGUGGGGAGCAAACAGGCUUAGAUACCCUGGUAGUCCACCCCGUAAACGUUGGGAACUAGUUGUGGGGGCCUUUCCACGGUCUCCGUGACGCA